Molecule: small nuclear RNA, 107 nt
Filed under: Jaculus jaculus (lesser Egyptian jerboa)
Lineage: Eukaryota; Metazoa; Chordata; Mammalia; Rodentia; Dipodidae
Source: RNAcentral
GUGCUUGCUUAGGCAGCACAUAGACUAAAAUUGGAACGAUAUGGAGUAGAUUAGCAUGGCCUCUGCACAAGGAUGACACGCAAAUUCAUGAAGUGUUCCAUAUUAAA